UACGGAGGGGGCUAGCGUUGUUCGGAAUUACUGGGCGUAAAGCGUACGUAGGCGGCUUGGUAAGUCAGAGGUGAAAGCCCACGACUCAAUCGUGGAACUGCCUUUGAGACUGCUUGGCUUGAAGAUGGGAGAGGUUAGUGGAAUUCCGAGUGUAGAGGUGAAAUUCGUAGAUAUUCGGAAGAACACCAGUGGCGAAGGCGGCUAACUGGACCAUUCUUGACGCUGAGGUACGAAAGCGUGGGGAGCAAACAGG
This 253-nucleotide ribosomal RNA is filed under the name uncultured bacterium. Its description in RNAcentral is "partial 16S ribosomal RNA". It matches the Rfam family "Bacterial small subunit ribosomal RNA", at positions 524 to 776 of the family's 1533-position model. The record is from RNAcentral.